UACGUAGGGUGCAAGCGUUGUCCGGAAUUAUUGGGCGUAAAGAGCUCGUAGGCGGUCUGUCGCGUCUGCUGUGAAAACUCAGGGCUUAACCCUGAGCUUGCAGUGGGUACGGGCAAACUAGAGUAUUGCAGGGGAGACUGGAAUUCCUGGUGUAGCGGUGAAAUGCGCAGAUAUCAGGAGGAACACCGGUGGCGAAGGCGGGUCUCUGGGCAAUAACUGACGCUGGAGGAGCGAAAGCCGUGGGGAGCGAACAGG
Molecule: ribosomal RNA, 255 nt
Filed under: uncultured bacterium
Lineage: Bacteria
Description: partial 16S ribosomal RNA
Rfam family: Bacterial small subunit ribosomal RNA
Source: RNAcentral